RNAcentral lists this ribosomal RNA (490 nucleotides) under uncultured bacterium. RNAcentral describes it as "partial 16S ribosomal RNA". It matches the Rfam family "Bacterial small subunit ribosomal RNA", at positions 30 to 507 of the family's 1533-position model. The record is from RNAcentral.
AUUGAACGCUGGCGGCAGGCCUAACACAUGCAAGUCGAACGGUAACAGGAAGCAGCUUGCUGCUUUGCUGACGAGUGGCGGACGGGUGAGUAAUGUCUGGGAAACUGCCCGAUGGAGGGGGAUAACUACUGGAAACGGUAGCUAAUACCGCAUAACGUCGCAAGACCAAAGAGGGGGACCUUAGGGCCUCUUGCCAUCGGAUGAGCCCAGAUGGGAUGAGCUAGUAGGUGGGGUAACGGCCCACCUAGGCGACGAUCCCUAGCUGGUCUGAGAGGAUAACCAGCCACACUAGAACUGAGACACGGUCCAGGCGCCUACGUGAGGCAGCAGUGCGGAAUAUUGCACAAUGGGCGCAAGCCUGAUGCAACCAUGCCGCGUGUAUGAAGAAGGCCCUCGGGUUGUAAAGUACUUUCAGCGGGGAGGAAGGGAGUAAAGUUAAUACCUUUGCUCAUUGACGUUACCCGCAGAAGAAGCACCGGCUAACUCCGUG